This 1134-nucleotide long non-coding RNA is filed under the name Marmota monax (woodchuck). The record is from RNAcentral. Lineage: Eukaryota; Metazoa; Chordata; Mammalia; Rodentia; Sciuridae.
UGUUUCUUCUUUUUGACGAUUUGAUAACUGAUGGCUAUUUUCCAACUUCUGGAUUCUGUUCUUGGUGCUUAAAAAGUUGUUGUGUGUACUCCAUCAUUUAAAUCAGUAUGUCUGUGAGCCCGGUUCUGAUAUUCGUAUUUUAAGAGCUCCUUUGUAAAGCUCACAUGGUUGUAAUGUGCAGCCAGAGUUGAUUGCCACACUUCUAGAUCCAGAGAAAGAGGAAGGGGUGGGGGAACUUACAUUCAGUGAGCAAGAACUAUUAUCUUCCCUAUAUAGUUUCAGUGACAUGGGGACCUGUAAUCAGGAGCAUUCCAUUAGUUUGAUACAAGUAUUUUGAUAAGCUGUUUGGAGUAAAAGGUGAGUCCUCCCAAGAAUAUGUUUAAGAAGCAAAGCAGUUACCCAAAUCACAUGUAUGUGACAAGCCAGGAAAUAGAUGGCCUUUAAGCAGGGAAGAAAAUGAGAAAAAAAAUGGAUAAGAAAAGAAGAGGGGGGGAAAUGACCUACUGUGAGCCUCUAGACCUCCCAUGGCUGAACUCCUGGUGCUUGGGGUGAGGAUUUCUUGUGGAUACAGUUUGAGUGGAAGGUUUCUGCAUGAUUGAUGGGGGAGGUCACGGAGGCAGGAACUGGGUCAGGAGUCUGCAUGCAAGUCUGAGUCUCAUCGUGUCAUAGCCGACGUUCACAUCAUACAUUCAGGAAGGCAAAGGUGCAAGAUACUGUCACAUUGUGACAGAAUAGAAUUUGCUGAUGUCAAGAAGUCACCUUGGUGAGCCAUGUUUAUGAGUUUCCACAGAGAGCCACUGUGACCAAAAUUCCCCCACUAAGCAUUAAGUGUCUAAGGAGGAGUCCUAAGACAGGACUCCCAAAGAGCAUUCUGUGGCUCUCAAAUUCUAAAGUUACAUGAAAAGAAAGAAAGAAAGAAAGACAGGGUUCCACAAUCAAAGAAAUUAAAGGACUUCCAAAGCAUUUCAUAUGCUAAUGUGCAUAGUGACUUUCUAAGAGGUGAGGUAUAGACACCAGGUCUCUCUUUUUGUUCUCUUUUACUAUCUCAAAGAACCAGAAUUUCUUGAAUCACUUUGGAAAACACUAUUGCAGUUCUAUAUCUCAGUAACUACUGCUGCAUAGAAUUUUUUCUUU